GUUUUGGUAAACCAUUCUCUACAAGCAUGUGAAAAAAUAGGUCAUUAAAAUUUGGCUCCCCUUGUGAUGUCAGAAGGGGAUAUUACCGCCCUUAAUCUGCACUAUCCAACCACGGCACUGCCAUUUAGUGCCGAGAUCAGCUCAUUUGCAUGUAAAGGACACAUCCAAAAACGGCACAUUUUUGCUCACACCUAUAAAGUGGCAAAUGUAACAUGCUUUAAUAAAUGAAUGGGGUAUUUUGAGCUAAAACUUCACAUAUGUACUUUGGAAACACCAAAUAUUUCUUUUCCAUCUUAAAAAAAGUCUUGUGAAAUGUCCCCUUUAAUCCAAACAAUAGAGCCUGAUAAACAAUGCUGAUUUACAAGAAAACAUGUCAGAUAUACUUAAAAGCAUUUGCAUCUGAACUCCUCAUAUGUUUUAGAAAAAGUUUUACUAUUUAAUAUUAAAGAAAUACACUGGUAAUACAAAUAGCUGAUAUAACUAUGAAUGUAAUUGCAUCAAACCAAGGCGCAUGCACAAGGAAACACUUUUCAACCAAAAUAUUUAACUGAAAAAUGUUUGGGGGUCAUAUAUGAUGAAACAUCAGAAACAACAGUUUUGAGACCAAAAAAGUAUUUACAUGAAAACAAAGAUGUACAAAUGCAGCAUCAUUUGCAUAUGGUUUGAAAUGUUAUGAUCCACUGAUAUAGCAAAUCCAAUAUUUUUAUAGUUUUUGGCCCACUUUAUAGCUUACCAGAGCUCUACUGUAUGUGUGUUUUCCAGUAAGUCAGCACAGUUGGUGUCUGUCUGUAUUUAUACUCUGGGUUUGCAGUGUCAGGGGUUUUCCAGCAUGUGCUCCUCUGGAAGGGCACACGGGCGGUUCUGCAUUAGCUCUAAUGGCCGGAGGGGUCACAUUUAAAAUCAUAAUGGCUUUUCCGCUCCCCCCUCCUGCUGAGAAAAACGUCUCCAGCGCUUGCUCUCCUCACAGAGGUCGUCACACUCCAACUUCCCAAUAAAAGAUGCUGUUUUCAUUCUGUCAGCAUACGCUUUGAAGAAAAUUCACUUUGCACUUCCCCGCUAUGUUUCCUGGCCUCUUCUGUGACUUGUUCUGUUGUUCUCCGAGCAGUUUCUAACCCGCCAUCAUUAUAAUUGUGUUUUGUCACUGUGCUGUUUGUCAGACGGUAUAUGAGGGGGAGAUUGGGUGUUUAUUGUUUGACGAUGAUGAUUGAACCAGAAUAGAAAAAACGCAUUCUGAUCGUCUUGUUUUCAUUUCUAACGUGUUCAAUCUCUUAGGCAGAAAAUGUUUUUUUCAGCAUUACUUGCUGAUGAUCACUGACAGAUAAUAAUUAUGUUACAGUAUGUGCUAGUAUGAAUACUGCCGUAAUGUCAGCAUCUGAUAAGCAUAGCUCUUUUUCUCUAUUAUUCAUUUAGUUUGGAAAAUAUGGCUGUGUUUGCAAUAGUAUAGUAGUGAACUACAUACAGCACAUUACAUUUUAUGCCACAUAAUAUUUUUUAUAUUUAAAGUGCCAUUUUAUCCCCUAAAACUCAUUUUUGAGCACCAUAAUAGCAAAUGUAAACAUUUAUUUCUGUGAUAAUAAUUUCUUCACGCCUUAAAAUAGCUUGAAUGUAACUCUACACCAUUGCCUCAUCUAGUAUAUGUGGAUCUAUGAAUAUGCAAAUUAGUCCCCGUCUCUACUCAAUCACAUCAGCUUGAACCAUAGAUUUGGAUAUGCAAUGGCAAUUCGGACAUAUUUUACAAGGUGGCUAAUUUGUACGACCACAUUCGUAAAUGUUUGUACAAUUUGGUUUUGCCGCUGUGACGUUGGGGGUAGGGGCGGGGAUUCGUUAUGGUUUUAUUUUACGAAAAUCGUGUGGUCUUCUACGAUUCACUUCGCAGGAAAUUAUACGUUAUCGCCAACUUCUAAAAUGUCUACGAUUUCUUGUGAGAUCAGGCUGGAAUAUUCAAAUUAGUUCCCACCUCUGCUCAGACCAUAGAUAUAUAUGUACAUAGAUGCCACAUUUGGCAGUUCCAAAAACUUAGCUGCCGGUUUCACAAUGCAUACAUGAGCUGCGCGUUUGCAUAAUUCUUUUAUAGUUCUAAAUUUUUGCCCUGUGACAUUGGGGGUAGGGGCAGGGUUCAUUAUGGUUUUAUUUUAUGAUAAUCAUGUGUUUUUCUACCAUUCACUUCGUACGAUUCGCCAACUCGAAAAAUACCUACGAUAUCUUGUGAGAUUAGGCUGAAAAAUGCAAAUUAGUUCCCACCUCUACUCAAUCACACAGCUCAGACUAUAGAUAUAUAUGUACAUAGAUAACACAUUUGGAAGUUUCAAAAAACGUCACACUGGGGUUAGGGGCGGGGUUUCGUUUUGUUUUAUUUUAUGAUAACCGUGUUUUUCUAUGAUUCACUUCGUACGAAUUCGCCAACUCGUAAAAUACCUAUGAUAUCUCGUGAGAUUAAGAUAAAAUAUGCAAAUUAGUUUUCACCUCUACUCAAUCGCACAGCUCAGACCAUAGAUUUAUAUGUACAUAGAUGCCACAUUCGACAGUUCCAAAAACAUAGCUGCCGGUUCACAAUGCAUACAUGAGCUGCGAAUGUGCAGAAUACAUUUUUUAGCUUAAAUUUUCUGCUCCGUGACAAUGGGGUUAGGGGCGGGGUUUGUUAAGGUUUCAUUUUAUGAUAAUCAUGUGUUUUUUUAUGAUUCACUUCGUACAAAUUCGCUAACUCGUAAAAUACCUACGAUAUCUCGUGAGUUCAGGCUUAUAUAUGGAAAUUAGUUCCCGUCUCUACUCAAUCGCACAGCUCAGACCAUAGAUAUAUAUGUACAUAGAUGCCACAUGCGGGAGUUCAAAAAACGUAGUUGCCGGUUUCACAAUGCAUACAUGAGCUGCUAGUUUGCAGCAUUAUUUUUAGCUAAAAAAAAUUCCCCUGUGAUGUUGGGGUUAGGGGUGGGGUUCAUUAUGGUUUUAUUUUAUGAUAAUCGUGUGUUUUUCUAACAUUCACUUCGUACGAUUCGCCAACUUGAAAAAUAAUUACGAUAUCUUGUGAGAUUAGGCUGAAAUAUGCAAAUUAGUUCCCACCUCUACUCAAUCACACAGCUCAGACUAUAGAUAUAUAUGUACAUAGAUGCCACAUUUGGAAGUUCCAAAAACGUAGCUGCCAGUUUCACAAUGCAUACAUAAGCUGCGCAUUUGCAACAUAAUUGUUUAGCUUUAAUUUUUUGCCCCAAGACGUUGGCGUUAGGAGCGGGGUUUCAUUUCGGUUAUAUUUUAUGAUAAUCGUGUGUUUUCUACGAUUCACUUCGUACAAAUUCGCCAACUCAUAAAAUACCUACGAUAUCUCAUGACAUCAGGCUGAAAUAUGAAAAAUUAUUUCCCGUAUAUACUCAAUCGCACAGCUCAGACCAUAGAUAUAUAUGGACAUAGAUGCCACAUUCAGCAGUUCCAAAAACGUAGCUGCCAGUUUCACAAUGUAUACAUGAGCUGUGCAUUUGCAACAAUUUUUUUAGCUCAAAUUUUUUGCCCGUGACGUUGGGGGUAGGGGAGGGGUUUGUUAUGGUUUUAUUUUAUAAUAAUCGUGUUUUUCUACGAUUUACUUCGUACGAAUUUGCCAACUCGUAAAAUAACUAAAAUUUCUCGUGAGAUCAUGUGGAUAUUAGUUCCCGCCUCUACUCAAUCGCAGAGCUCAGACCAUAGAUAUAUAUGUACAUAGAUGCCACAUUCGGCAGUUCCAAAAACGUAGCUGCCGGUUUUACAAUGCAUACAUGAGCUGCGCGUUUGAAGCAUAAUUUUUUUUAUCUCAAUUUUUUUUGCCCCUCUGAUGAUGCACGGUUCAUUAUGGUUUUAUUUUAUGAUAAUUGUGUGUUUUUCUACAAUUCACUUCAUACGAAUUGGUCAACUGUCGACUAUAGAUAUAUAUGUACAUAGAUGCCACAUUCUGCAGUACCAAAAACAUAGCUGCAGCACAAUUUUUUUAGCUCUGAUGUUAACAGGUAAGCAUGUGUGAGCAGCGAGUGCUCGCGUCACAGAAGUAGAGCUAAAGCAGCUGUGCUGCGAGCUGUGUGCGAGUCUAUGCAUCCAUACAUAUCUAUGGCUCAGACUGGCUGAUCCACUCGUUCAACUGUUGAUGUGAUUGGUCGCAUGUUUGUGACGUAAAAAACUGAUGCGAUUUCAAACCGUGCUUUGGAAAACUGCACAUUUAUGAUGAAAAUACUCAGCAAGGGAGAUUGCUGAAAUGAUGAAUUUGAAAACUUGAUUUUCACCACAGGGGGAGUUAAAGCAGUUUAGAAUGAAUGAAUAAGCUACAAAAUGAUGUGCUAAAUUUUAUUACAGGUUGAGUCCUAAGUCACAGUGCCUAUGGUUAAUGUAACAUGAAUAGCCGAUAUGGAAGUUGACCGUAUCCUUCAUACAGUAUACUCAUAUGCCACAUAUAGUAUCCCUGUGUUCCAUGCAUAUUAAAUAUGUAAACUGUGCACAGUAUACACACUACUAAAAGUAUGAAAGUAUGUUAUUCCAAACACAGCCAUUGUCCAGUCCUAAGAUAAUAUAAUCCUCUCCAAGCAUACGCUCAACAGCUAUUCACCUCCCGCUUUGCGACACCGGAUCUCAAAUGACAAUAUGCGAUUGAAUUAGUUGGCAGUGAUGAAUGCUUUGUGUGCAAAAAGUAACAUACCUGAUCUAUACCACCUACAGUGUCUACUUUCUUUCCAAUGCAGAUUCAUACAAUAGGUAUGAGAUCGGUGAGUUCUUGGGCCUGCGUGGUCAGUCGGUGUGUUUGUACGGAUGACAGAUGAGCUAUUAAGGAAAAACAAGAAUGUAAAAGAGGGAGACAGGAUCUACCCUUCCAUCAAUGAAAUGAUGCCAGGCAAUAUUUACUGUCCUCUUCAGAGUGAACGCUGCGGUCGGCCCAAGUCUCCUGUAGUUCUUUUAGCAUAUAUGAAGAAAAAUAACAUCUGCGAGUAUUCUGCACAGGCAGGAGAGAUCAUUCAUUGUAUCUAAUAAUAAUGCACAUGUACAGGCGUGCACCACAGUCUAUUUUAUUUCUGUUCUCAUGCUUUGCAGAAGUCAUUAAAAACUGCAUCUCUCGCCUCAAACGCGUGCUUGUGUAUCUGAAGAAAAAAAAACAUUCACCAUCUCUGCCUCCAGAUUUGCAGGUUGCUUUGAUUGUUGUCAAUACUGAUCAAUGUUUUCAUGAUAAUGUCAUCUGUACAAUUUGUAUAUUAUAAUAAAUAUGAUUUAUAUUUGA
Molecule: non-coding RNA, 5221 nt
Organism: Paramisgurnus dabryanus
Lineage: Eukaryota; Metazoa; Chordata; Actinopteri; Cypriniformes; Cobitidae
Source: RefSeq, a predicted model, not a curated record